AUUGAACGCUGGCGGCAGGCCUAACACAUGCGAGUCGAGCGGAUGAAGGGAGCUUGCUCCUGGAUUCAGCGGCGGACGGGUGAGUAAUGCCUAGGAAUCUGCCUGGUAGUGGGGGAUAACGUCCGGAAACGGGCGCUAAUACCGCAUACGUCCUGAGGGAGAAAGUGGGGGAUCUUCGGACCUCACGCUAUCAGAUGAGCCUAGGUCGGAUUAGCUAGUUGGUGGGGUAAAGGCCUACCAAGGCGACGAUCCGUAACUGGUCUGAGAGGAUGAUCAGUCACACUAGAACUGAGACACGGUCCAGACUCCUACGAGAGGCAGCAGUGGGGAAUAUUGGACAAUGGGCGAAAGCCUGAUCCAGCCAUGCCGCGUGUGUGAAGAAGGCCUUCGGAUUGUAAAGCACUUUAAGUUGGGAGGAAGGGCAGUAAGUUAAUACCUUGCUGUUUUGACGUUACCAACAGAAUAAGCACCGGCUAACUUCGUG
This 484-nucleotide ribosomal RNA is filed under the name uncultured bacterium. RNAcentral's name for it is "partial 16S ribosomal RNA". It matches the Rfam family "Bacterial small subunit ribosomal RNA", at positions 30 to 507 of the family's 1533-position model. The record is from RNAcentral.